Molecule: long non-coding RNA, 372 nt
Organism: Herpailurus yagouaroundi (jaguarundi)
Lineage: Eukaryota; Metazoa; Chordata; Mammalia; Carnivora; Felidae
Exons: 3
Source: RefSeq, a predicted model, not a curated record
ACAAAAGCUUUCUACAAAUGUGUUUCAUCUUCAGAGAAAUUUAUGGGAAGGAAUCUGACAAGGACUUUAGAAUACAGAUUUUUGAUAACUUUCAUAUCAUAUCAUGGGUGGCAGCCAAACCUCAGGGACUUAACCCUUGGACAUGCAUCUCACAAUUGAAAAAUGCUCCACCUGACAUACAGACUCUGGAGACCUUGCAGUCACAUUGAGGAGGAGGAGAAGUAGUUGACACAGAGGGCAAUACUUCUGUGUUCAGGAGUAAAUGUAAAUAUCAUCCAGAACCUAUCCUUAAAUCCUGAAGAUACUACAAAAUUUAUUGCUAAGACAAUAUCUGCCCAACAAAGAUCCUCAAACCCUCUGGCCAAACUUGUU